UACGUAGGGGGCUAGCGUUGUCCGGAUUUAUUGGGCGUAAAGAGCGUGUAGGCGGCCAGGUAGGUCUGCUGUGAAAACUCGAGGCUCAACCUCGAGACGUCGGCGGAAACCAUCUGGCUAGAGUCCGGAAGAGGAGAGUGGAAUUCCUGGUGUAGCGGUGAAAUGCGCAGAUAUCAGGAAGAACACCCGUGGCGAAGGCGGCUCUCUGGGACGGUACUGACGCUGGGACGCGAAAGCGUGGGGAGCGAACAGG
This 253-nucleotide ribosomal RNA is filed under the name uncultured bacterium. RNAcentral describes it as "partial 16S ribosomal RNA". It matches the Rfam family "Bacterial small subunit ribosomal RNA", at positions 524 to 776 of the family's 1533-position model. The record is from RNAcentral.